UACGGAGGAUGCGAGCGUUAUCCGGAUUUAUUGGGUUUAAAGGGUGCGUAGGCGGACGCUUAAGUCAGCGGUAAAAUUGCGGGGCUCAACCUCGUCGAGCCGUUGAAACUGGGUGCCUUGAGUGGGCGAGAAGUACGCGGAAUGCGUGGUGUAGCGGUGAAAUGCAUAGAUAUCACGCAGAACUCUGAUUGCGAAGGCAGCGUACCGGCGCCCAACGGACGCUGAAGCACGAAGGCGUGGGUAUCGAACAGG
Molecule: ribosomal RNA, 252 nt
Filed under: uncultured bacterium
Lineage: Bacteria
Description: partial 16S ribosomal RNA
Rfam family: Bacterial small subunit ribosomal RNA
Source: RNAcentral